Molecule: ribosomal RNA, 1203 nt
Filed under: Escherichia coli
Lineage: Bacteria; Pseudomonadati; Pseudomonadota; Gammaproteobacteria; Enterobacterales; Enterobacteriaceae
Description: partial 23S ribosomal RNA
Rfam family: Bacterial large subunit ribosomal RNA
Source: RNAcentral
CAAACUGCGAAUACCGGAGAAUGUUAUCACGGGAGACACACGGCGGGUGCUAACGUCCGUCGUGAAGAGGGAAACAACCCAGACCGCCAGCUAAGGUCCCAAAGUCAUGGUUAAGUGGGAAACGAUGUGGGAAGGCCCAGACAGCCAGGAUGUUGGCUUAGAAGCAGCCAUCAUUUAAAGAAAGCGUAAUAGCUCACUGGUCGAGUCGGCCUGCGCGGAAGAUGUAACGGGGCUAAACCAUGCACCGAAGCUGCGGCAGCGACGCUUAUGCGUUGUUGGGUAGGGGAGCGUUCUGUAAGCCUGUGAAGGUGUGCUGUGAGGCAUGCUGGAGGUAUCAGAAGUGCGAAUGCUGACAUAAGUAACGAUAAAGCGGGUGAAAAGCCCGCUCGCCGGAAGACCAAGGGUUCCUGUCCAACGUUAAUCGGGGCAGGGUGAGUCGACCCCUAAGGCGAGGCCGAAAGGCGUAGUCGAUGGGAAACAGGUUAAUAUUCCUGUACUUGGUGUUACUGCGAAGGGGGGACGGAGAAGGCUAUGUUGGCCGGGCGACGGUUGUCCCGGUUUAAGCGUGUAGGCUGGUUUUCCAGGCAAAUCCGGAAAAUCAAGGCUGAGGCGUGAUGACGAGGCACUACGGUGCUGAAGCAACAAAUGCCCUGCUUCCAGGAAAAGCCUCUAAGCAUCAGGUAACAUCAAAUCGUACCCCAAACCGACACAGGUGGUCAGGUAGAGAAUACCAAGGCGCUUGAGAGAACUCGGGUGAAGGAACUAGGCAAAAUGGUGCCGUAACUUCGGGAGAAGGCACGCUGAUAUGUAGGUGAAGCGACUUGCUCGUGGAGCUGAAAUCAGUCGAAGAUACCAGCUGGCUGCAACUGUUUAUUAAAAACACAGCACUGUGCAAACACGAAAGUGGACGUAUACGGUGUGACGCCUGCCCGGUGCCGGAAGGUUAAUUGAUGGGGUCAGCGCAAGCGAAGCUCUUGAUCGAAGCCCCGGUAAACGGCGGCCGUAACUAUAACGGUCCUAAGGUAGCGAAAUUCCUUGUCGGGUAAGUUCCGACCUGCACGAAUGGCGUAAUGAUGGCCAGGCUGUCUCCACCCGAGACUCAGUGAAAUUGAACUCGCUGUGAAGAUGCAGUGUACCCGCGGCAAGACGGAAAGACCCCGUGAACCUUUACUAUAGCUUGACACUGAACAUUGAGCCUUGAUG